This 318-nucleotide long non-coding RNA is filed under the name Volvox carteri. RNAcentral's name for it is "long non-coding RNA (VCAR_LNC003394)". Lineage: Eukaryota; Viridiplantae; Chlorophyta; Chlorophyceae; Chlamydomonadales; Volvocaceae. The record is from RNAcentral.
CCCGUUAGGGUCUCUAGCCGACUACAAACUCUAGGAAUAUAUGUCCCUGUCUGAUAUAUGUGUAAGUCGGAAAUGCCCCCGGACAUCGGUCAGCUGCUCGUCUCAUCGAUACGCGCCGGCGCCAGUUCAGUCUACGCCCGGCUGCUCUGGCAAGUCGGAAAGCGCAAGAAUGCAUCAUUGUUUAAAUCUUGGUAUUGUUCUGAGUUGCAAGCAAGGAAAGAACGAUGUUUAGUAAGGUCUGUAACCAGACGGGCAUUUGCCUUUGUCUGCGUCAUGAACCGCGGGAUAAGGAUCCGCUUAGUAGAUUACUCGUUCGAU